RNAcentral lists this small RNA (75 nucleotides) under Duffyella gerundensis. Its description in RNAcentral is "Erwinia gerundensis tpke11". It matches the Rfam family "tpke11". From Rfam's summary of the family: In Yersinia located in ICR upstream dnaJ (chaperone)gene. Has temperature responsive RNA structure. Lineage: Bacteria; Pseudomonadati; Pseudomonadota; Gammaproteobacteria; Enterobacterales; Erwiniaceae. The record is from Rfam by way of RNAcentral.
AACCGCUGUUAACCAGCACGGGCGGCGGAGUUUUCUCCACGCCCGUUCAUGUUUGUUAAGGGCAUUAAAAACAUG